UAGCUACAAAAUAACUUAUUCUGUAGCCACUUUGAGUUACGAUAAUUAAAUUACUAUAUUAAUUUAUGAGAUUAUAGUAACUCCAUACUAAGUGGUUUACUAUAACGUUAUGGUAAAUAUCUCUAUGUGUUAUAGUAACCAAACUAUUGUAAAUAUGUGUUGAUAUUAUCGUAAAUUAGUAUAUAAAAUUAUCCUAAAUGAAAGUGGCUACAAAAUAACUUAUUUUAUAGCUG
RNAcentral lists this microRNA precursor (233 nucleotides) under Sorghum bicolor (sorghum). RNAcentral describes it as "MIR6217 microRNA precursor family". It matches the Rfam family "MIR6217 microRNA precursor family". Lineage: Eukaryota; Viridiplantae; Streptophyta; Magnoliopsida; Poales; Poaceae. The record is from Rfam by way of RNAcentral.